Long non-coding RNA from Junco hyemalis (dark-eyed junco), 1554 nucleotides. The record is from Ensembl. NCBI's taxonomy places the organism in Eukaryota, Metazoa, Chordata, Aves, Passeriformes, Passerellidae.
GGUCAUCAUGGACAUGGUCAUCAUGGUAUGGUCAUGGUCAUUGCCAUUCUUGUGGUCAUCAUUGUCAUUAUCAUCGUCAUGGUCAUUGUGGUCAUCAUGAUUGUCAUCCUCAUCAUGGUAUGGUCACGGUCAUUGUUGUCAUCAUCAUCAUCGUCAUGGUCAUUGUUGUCAUUGUCACGUUGGUCAUCUUCAUCAUCAUUGUCAUUGUCAUCAUAUCACUGUCAUCACCAUCAUCAUGGUCAUGGUCAUCAUUGCCAUUAUCGUCAUCAUUGUGAUGGUCAUCAACGUCAUCGUUGUCAUUGUCAUCUUCAUCAUCGUUGUCAUGGUCAUUGUCAUUAUCGUCAUGAUGGUCAUCUUCAUCAUCAUCGUCGUCAUCAUAUCACUGUCAUCAUCAUCAUCACCAUCAUGGUCGUUGUCAUCUUCUUCAUCAUUGUCAUUGUCAUUGUCAUGGUCAUGGUCAUCAUUGUCAUUGUCAUGGUUGUAGUCAUGGCCAUCAUCAUCAUCGUCAUCUUCAUCAUCAUCGUCAUUGUCAUUGUCAUCAUCAAGGGGGGAAAAGUCGGGACCCGGGGGGGGUCUUGUGUCACCUGGGGGUGGCCUUGGGGACAAUGGGGGGGGGGUGGGGACACUUGGGGACAUUUUGGGACACUUUGGGACCCUUGGGGACAUUUUGGGGGACAGUGGGGGUGGCACUGGGAGUGGGAUUUGGGGGUGGGAUUGAAGGAAUUGGGGAAUUUGGGAUUCGGGAUUUUGGGAUUUGAGGAUUCGGGAAUUUGGGAAUUUUUGGAAUUCAGGGAUUUGAGAAUUUGGGGAUUCAGAAAUUUGGGAAUCUGGGAAUUUGGGAAUUUGGGAAUCUGGGAGUUCGGGGAUUUGGGGAUUGGGGAAUUGGGGGAUUCAGGGUUUGGGGUGGAAUUCAGGGAUCCAGGAAUUCGGGAAUUUUGGAAUUUGGGGAUCCAGGAAUUUGGGAAUUCGGGGCGGGGGGUCAGAGAGCCAGGAAUUCAGGGAUUUAUGAUUUUGGGAAUUCAGAGAUUUAGGAAUUUGGGAAUCCAGGGAAUGGGACGGAAUUCAGGGAUUCAGGAAUUUGGGAAUUCAGGGAUUCAGAAAUUUAGGGAUUUGGGGGUGCAGGAAUGCAGAAAUUCAGGGAUUCGGGGAUUCAGGGAUUUGGGGAUUAGGGAAUUCAGGGACUCAGAAAUUUGGGAAUUUGGGGAUUCAGGAAUUUGGGGAUCCAGGAAUUCCAGGAGUGCUGGGAUUUCAGGACAGUGACGAAAAUCCCGGGAUUUUGUGGACUCCGGAAUUCAGGGAUUCAGGAAUGCAGAAAUUCAGGAAUUUGGGGAUUCAGGAAUUUUGGAGUUCAGGGAUUCAGAAAUUCAGGAAUUUGGGGAUCCAGAGAUUCAGGAAUUUGGGGAUCCAGGGAUUCCAGGAGUUCUGGGAUUUCGGGAUGGCAACGAAAAUCCCGGGAUUUUGCGGACUCAGGAACCCAGGAAUUGCGACAAAAACCCCAAAACCCCAGAAAAUCAAACACCCAACCCCCGAAAAUCCCCAAACUCGCCUUUCCCA